UCUCCGUAGGUGAACCUGCGGAGGGAUCAUUACUGAGUGAGGGCCCCUGGGUCCGACCUCCAACCCUUUUGUGAACCACCUCGUUGCUUCGGGGGCGACCCUGCCGUUCGGCGCGGCGCCCCCGGAGGCUCAUCAAACACUGCAUCUCUGCGUCGGAGUCUUAAUGAAUUCAAACAAAACUUUUAACAACGGAUCUCUUGGUUCUGGCAUCGAUGAAGAACGCAGC
This 226-nucleotide unclassified non-coding RNA is filed under the name uncultured fungus. RNAcentral describes it as "sequence contains ITS1, 5.8S rRNA gene". The stretch from base 178 to 226 matches the Rfam family "5.8S ribosomal RNA", at positions 1 to 49 of the family's 154-position model. Lineage: Eukaryota; Fungi. The record is from RNAcentral.